CUCAGUCGAUGAGCCUCCCAGACGUGCGCACCGUGGAGGUUAAGUGGGGCUCAGAGAGAGAGUCCAGCUGUGAUGGGGGACCGCAAAUCCCAUAAGCCACCAGUCUCAGGGCAGGUUGGCACCACAGGAAGCUUUCACGGUGGGAAGUGGCGAGCGCGUCUCUGUCUGUCAGGAGUGGGGGAAUAUUGGAUGUGAGCAAAGAGAGGAAUGUCUUGGCUGGACUCUGACGUGAGGAGAAUAUGGGAUGGUGUUGUUUUGAACAAGCCGAGCUCUGUGCACUCCCUUAUAUUAAAAUAUCUGAGAUUUUACCGAGCUGAGCUAAUUCUGGGAGAUUUAUACCACAACGUGUACUUUAUUAGAGUGAAGACGUACGGUGGGAUGCAGCAGAGAGGGGUUUGUCUUUGUCUUUGAGCACGCUGCUUUUUUUGUUUGCUCCUCGGUGAUUAAAUGAAGAGGAAAGCUGCCUCAGCAGAGCCGUUAUUGAUUAACAUAACCUUUAUUUAAUCAGGUAAUACCAUCCAGAUUGGAGUCUCCUGAAUAAGAGAGACACAAGUACAGCAGAGCAGCAUCCUGAUGAAUCACAGACCUCUCAUUUCUCAGUUCCUUUUGUAACCAGCAUGAAAAAUCAGGUUACUAACCCUGUAUUUGUCAUUUAAACAAUUCUACUAAAUUCCCAGUAGGUGCGAUAUUUCCCUGCUGGUCACUGUAUCCCGAGUGAACCUGCGUGAACUAUCGCGUGAAAUCUGCACCGUGAAGCAGACGUGUUUUCCUCUCACGACACGAGCCAGACAGCAGCAGAGCAGACAGACAGACAGACCGAGAGAGUCGGUAGCUAAAGCCGAGCAAACACGACAGACACACGGAGUAGCAGAGCCGUGGAUAACGGCAGAGACGUCCGCAGGCAGACCCGGUAUUCACAGCGAACCCGGGUUCAAAACCGACAGGCUGUGAGCCGAGGAGAAAACCCCUUUGUGGGAUUAAAAUGCAUGAACUCCGGUGAGUCAGCAGACAGUUAGCUUCCAGUUCGGUAGCCGUUCAGACGGAAAAAUAAAACGCAUUUAUAGUUCUAUUUACUUGUGUUAUUGUGGUCUAUGUUGCUUUAAAUAUGCCAUAUGAUGCCUUUCGAUGUUUUCCUGUUGUUUGUAAGCCGUUUUUACCGUAGUUUAUGGCUUGUAAAAAGAUCGCUAGCUUGAAAUGCUAACGCUAUUAGCGACCGCGACAUGCUAAUCGCUAAGUAGGGAUGCUAUUUUGUCCCUUGUUUCAUGUUUAGUCAUGCAGUCGCUAUGCUAACCGCUAAGCUAAUGUUAAGUUUCCAUGCAGUUGCAUUGAGAAGGUGCAGUUUAAUCAUUUUUAUACCAAUUGAACUGCUUAUUUGUGUUAUUAGUCUCUGUUUUUGGUGAUAUAUUUUGGAUGUUGAACUGAGAAACUGAUGAGACCUCAUGAGAAAUAGACAGAAUCAGAUUAGGUUCUUAUCCCUAUACACUUUCUGUGUAGGUUGGUUUUUUUCUUGCUAGUCUGAACUGAGAAAGAGACGAUCAGGAUGGCGAUCCCAGCCCAGCGAGUCUGAGAUAGAGAGAGAGGGAGAAGCAGUGUGGCCAGCUGCAGAAUCCACCUACCUCAACAACUCUGGAUCUUCCGAAUCCCGCACUUUGAGAGCAGAUAAGACACAUACAUACACUUUGCACCUACCCGGGUAGCAACAGUAAAAAGACACUGAAGACACAGAAAUUCAAUUGACAUUGAUACACAGAACACACACCUCGGAUCCCCUCAUCGUAAAACCCCAGAAUUCUGAGCAGGAGAGUUCAGUGUCCCAUUUAAGUUUUUUUUUUUUCUCUUCUCUGGCGCCUUGUUAUUUUGAACAGUGAAAUACCAGGUUGUUGAUGUUUAUUAUUUUUUUGUUUCUCAUUGAUACUGAAGUAUCACCUGUUCAAAUCACUCCUCUUUAUUCGAGUCAUUCACCCAAUUCCUACUGAACCUAGAGAUGUGAGUAUCCAUUAAUUCUCUAAAUAGGACUAAAGGUGCUACACUUUCAUCCUAAAAGGAGGUAAAAUAUUAAAAGACACUCUGUUCAUCAAAAAA
This is a non-coding RNA of Xyrichtys novacula (pearly razorfish), 2082 nucleotides long. Lineage: Eukaryota; Metazoa; Chordata; Actinopteri; Labriformes; Labridae. The record is from the annotation of a GenBank genome assembly.